AGCAGCCGCGGUAAUUCCAGCUCCAAUAGCGUAUAUUAAAGUUGUUGCAGUUAAAAAGCUCGUAGUUGAAUUUCGGGAUCAAGGAAUUGGUCAUGCCUCGGUAUGUACUGGUUUUAUUGGUUCUCACCUUCUAAAGAACCAUAAUGUCAUUCAUUUGAUGUUAUGGGAAAUUAGGACUGUCACCUUGAAAAAUUAGAGUGUUUAAAGCAGGCUUACGCUUGAAUACAUUAGCAUGGAAUAAUGAAAUAGGACAUCAGAUUCUAUUUUGUUGGUUUCUAGGAUCGAUGUAAUGAUUAAUAGGGAUAGUUGGGGGCAUUAGUAUUCAAUUGUCAGAGGUGAAAUUCUUGGAUUUAUUGAAGACUAACUACUGCGAAAGCAUUUGCCAAGGAUGUUUUCAUUAAUCAAGAACGAAAGUUAGGGGAUCGAAGACGAUCAGAUACCGUCGUAGUCUUAACCAUAAACUAUGCCGACUAGGGAUCGGAUGAUGUUAAUUUUAUAAUGA
RNAcentral lists this ribosomal RNA (502 nucleotides) under uncultured Glomus. RNAcentral's name for it is "SSU rRNA". It matches the Rfam family "Eukaryotic small subunit ribosomal RNA", at positions 569 to 1077 of the family's 1831-position model. Lineage: Eukaryota; Fungi; Glomeromycota; Glomeromycetes; Glomerales; Glomeraceae. The record is from RNAcentral.